This 327-nucleotide ribosomal RNA is filed under the name uncultured eukaryote. Its description in RNAcentral is "partial 18S ribosomal RNA". It matches the Rfam family "Eukaryotic small subunit ribosomal RNA", at positions 1470 to 1796 of the family's 1831-position model. The record is from RNAcentral.
CCCUUAGAUGUUCUGGGCCGCACGCGCGCUACACUGACGAAUGCAACGAGCUUAUAACCUUGGCCGAAAGGUCUGGGUAAUCUCCAAAUUUCGUCGUGAUGGGGAUAGAUUAUUGCAAUUAUUAAUCUUCAACGAGGAAUGCCUAGUAAGCGCAAGUCAUCAGCUUGCGUUGAUUGCGUCCCUGCCCUUUGUACACACCGCCCGUCGCUCCUACCGAUUGAAUGGUCCGGUGAAGCGUUCGGACCGUGGCCUUUGGACGGUUCGCCGUCUGUUGGCUGCGGGAAGUUCGUUAAACCUUAUCAUUUAGAGGAAGGAGAANUCGUAACA